RNAcentral lists this ribosomal RNA (375 nucleotides) under uncultured bacterium. RNAcentral describes it as "bacterial SSU rRNA". It matches the Rfam family "Bacterial small subunit ribosomal RNA", at positions 524 to 898 of the family's 1533-position model. The record is from RNAcentral.
UACAGAGGGUGCGAGCGUUAAUCGGAAUUACUGGGCGUAAAGCGAGUGUAGGUGGCUUAUUAAGUCACAUGUGAAAUCCCUGGGCUUAACCUAGGAACUGCGUGUGAUACUGGUGAGCUAGAGUAUGUGAGAGGAAAGUAGAAUUCCAGGUGUAGCGGUGAAAUGCGUAGAGAUCUGGAGGAAUACCGAUGGCGAAGGCAGCUUUCUGGCAUAAUACUGACACUGAGACUCGAAAGCGUGGGUAGCAAACAGGAUUAGAUACCCUGGUAGUCCACGCCGUAAACGAUGUCUACUAGCCGUUGGGGCCCUUGAGGCUUUAGUGGCGCAGUUAACGCGAUAAGUAGACCGCCUGGGGAGUACGGCCGCAAGGUUAAA